GUCCAUGCCGUAAACGAUGCCAGCUGGGUGUUUGGAGGGGAAACCCUUCUGGGUACCGAAGUCAACACGGUAAGCUGGCCGCCUGGGGAGUACGGUCGCAAGAUUAAAACUCAAAGGAAUUGACGGGGGCCCGCACAAGCAGCGGAGCGUGUGGUUUAAUUCGAGGCUACACGAAGAACCUUACCUGGGUUUGACAUAUAAGUGGUAGUGAAGCGAAAGCGGAACGACCUUCUGGAGCUUAUACAGGUGCUGCAUGGCUGUCGU
Molecule: ribosomal RNA, 264 nt
Filed under: uncultured bacterium
Lineage: Bacteria
Description: partial 16S ribosomal RNA
Rfam family: Bacterial small subunit ribosomal RNA
Source: RNAcentral